UACGUAGGGGGCUAGCGUUGUCCGGAAUCAUUGGGCGUAAAGCGCGUGUAGGCGGUCCGGUAAGUCCGCUGUGAAAGCCAGGGGCUCAACCCCGGAACUGCCUUCAAAACUCCCAGUCUGGAGGUCGAGAGAGGUGAGUGGAAUUCCGAGUGUAGAGGUGAAAUUCGUAGAUAUUCGGAGGAACACCAGUGGCGAAGGCGGCUCACUGGCUCGAUACUGACGCUGAGGUGCGAAAGCGUGGGGAGCAAACAGG
This 253-nucleotide ribosomal RNA is filed under the name uncultured bacterium. Its description in RNAcentral is "partial 16S ribosomal RNA". It matches the Rfam family "Bacterial small subunit ribosomal RNA", at positions 524 to 776 of the family's 1533-position model. The record is from RNAcentral.